GUUUUGCUGGACGAGCUCUGGGCACCUGUGCUCCCUCAUCGCGCUGUUAUGAGGCUCACCUGGAGGCAGCAGCUGGGUGAGGAGGGGCCAGGCUCUGGCUGCGGUGGAGCUGGGUUCCUGGGCAGGGGGGCUGCUCUGCGUUGGUCCUGGUAAUAUUGCUAACUAAGAAGCAGCUUUAGCUGGAAAUACUGCAGACAAAAACGUGGACUGGGGAUUUUAAGUGCUUCAGUAUGUGAGAGGACCACUCUGCAUUGUCAUGAGAUGCAGAGAACUACGGGUCAGAACUUGGGUUUCCUUGUCCAGCUGUGCUGGUGGCAUGCGCCCUGCAAUGUGAAGUACUGCAGUUUGGGCAGCCCAGCUGAGCUUUAUUGGAAUUAAAUGGGCUUUUAAACCUUGGUCUGCAAAACGCUGUGGUCUUCCAUAGCCCCUUACCGACCCCUUCCCCCUUCUGCUGGCAACAACUAGUAGAGGCUGAAUGUAUAGGU
This 485-nucleotide long non-coding RNA is filed under the name Chrysolophus pictus (golden pheasant). RNAcentral describes it as "lncRNA (ENSCPIG00010003860.1)". Lineage: Eukaryota; Metazoa; Chordata; Aves; Galliformes; Phasianidae. The record is from RNAcentral.